RNAcentral lists this unclassified non-coding RNA (520 nucleotides) under uncultured Glomus. RNAcentral describes it as "SSU rRNA". It matches the Rfam family "Eukaryotic small subunit ribosomal RNA", at positions 569 to 1090 of the family's 1831-position model. Lineage: Eukaryota; Fungi; Glomeromycota; Glomeromycetes; Glomerales; Glomeraceae. The record is from RNAcentral.
AGCAGUCGCGGUAAUUCCAGCUCCAAUAGCGUAUAUUAAAGUUGUUGCAGUUAAAAAGCUCGUAGUUGAAUUUCGGGAUCAAUAUAUCGGUCGUGCCUUGGUACGUACUGGUAUCAUUGGUUUCUCCUUUCUGACGAACCAUGAUGUCAUUAAUUUGGUGUUAUGGGAAGUUAGGACUGUUACUUUGAAAAAAUUAGAGUGUUUAAAGCAGGCUUUAGCUUGAAUACAUUAGCAUGGAAUAAUGAAAUAGGACGUUCGAACCUAUUUUGUUGGUUUCUAGGAUCAACGUAAUGAUUAAUAGGGAUAGUUGGGGGCAUUAGUAUUCAAUUGUCAGAGGUGAAAUUCUUGGAUUUAUUGAAGACUAACUACUGCGAAAGCAUUUGCCAAAGGAUGUUUUCAUUAAUCAAGAACGAAAGUUAGGGGAUCGAAGACGAUCAGAUACCGUCGUAGUCUUAACCAUAAACUAUGCCGACUAGGGAUCGGAUGAUGUUAAUUUUUUAAUGACUCAUUCGGCGCCUUA